RNAcentral lists this ribosomal RNA (305 nucleotides) under uncultured bacterium. RNAcentral describes it as "partial 16S ribosomal RNA". It matches the Rfam family "Bacterial small subunit ribosomal RNA", at positions 508 to 809 of the family's 1533-position model. The record is from RNAcentral.
ACAGCAGUCGCCGCGGGAAUACGAAGGGUGCAAGCGUUACUCGGAAUUACUGGGCGUAAAGCGUGCGUAGGUGGUGGUUUAAGUCCGUUGUGAAAGCCCUGGGCUCAACCUGGGAAUUGCAGUGGAUAUUGGGUCACUAGAGUGUGGUAGAGGAUAGUGGAAUUUCCGGUGUAGCAGUGAAAUGCGUAGAGAUCGGAAGGAACAUCUGUGGCGAAGGCGACUAUCUGGGCCAACACUGACACUGAGGCACGAAAGCGUGGGGAGCAAACAGGAUUAGAUACCCCCGUAGUCCCUGUCUCUUAUAA